Molecule: long non-coding RNA, 517 nt
Filed under: Physcomitrium patens
Lineage: Eukaryota; Viridiplantae; Streptophyta; Bryopsida; Funariales; Funariaceae
Description: long non-coding RNA (PPAT_LNC000763)
Source: RNAcentral
UUACGAUUGUCUAAACCUUCAAGAGAAUGCAAUUGAGAUGAAGAUCUUGAAGAAUGACAUGUUCUUCCCCAAAUAGAUGGCAAGAUACAACGCGUUGUCAUUUUACGUGAAGUCUUACUUGAGAAUGCACCGGGCACCAAGGUGUGGAAAGUAAAAAAAAUUACAACAAAAGGUCUUAAUAAUCCAAUAGGAUUAUAGAAAAAUUAUAAUUAAACUUUAACAAUCAUAAUCAAACAUUAAGCAAGCUCAAUUAAAUUUUAUUUAAGUUAUAAAAGAAACACAAAAAAAUCUUAAAGAAAUAUAAAAGAGUAUUAAAGAAAACUUAAUCAAAUCCUAAAAAAAUCUAAAAAAAUCUUAAAUUCUAACCAAAUCCUGAUCCUAAUCCAACCUUAAUCAAAUCCUAGACAAACCCUAAACUCUAAAUAUAUCCUAGUCAAAUUUUAGACAAAUCCUAACCCUAAUAAAUCCUAAUCAAUUCCAAAUCCUAAACAAAUCCUAAUCAAAUCCUAAAUAAAUC